Molecule: long non-coding RNA, 565 nt
Organism: Epinephelus moara (kelp grouper)
Lineage: Eukaryota; Metazoa; Chordata; Actinopteri; Perciformes; Serranidae
Exons: 3
Source: RefSeq, a predicted model, not a curated record
UUUCAGUCUCCUCUUAUCUGAAACUAACAUGGGGUGUGUUUAACAGCUUAGGCCUACAGCUGGCUGUGGUACAGCUAUGGCAACUUUGAGAGGCACACAGCGGUUGAGAAAUGUGUGAGCCGGGGCCAGCUCAAGCUUCUUCAUGUUUUCCAACUGGGGAUCUUCUGCAGGCACGCAGGUGCAGCAGAGACUUCUUUACGCAGCUUCUACCCAAAGACCCGUGACAACAAGGUUGGAGCAGUGUACCUGAGGCCUGACUUGAGCAUGCUGCGGCUCAUUGAGACGUUUUCACAGCACCCCUCAACUUGUCCUCAUGCUCACUAUCUUUCUGCAGCGGGGCGAGCUCGACCCUGUGACAGUGGGGAAGACCAUUGGGUCAGUCUCAGCCAUGGCCUUCAGGUUGACCAUGCACUACCGCACCCCGGGCUUCCUCCUGCCUGACAAGCUGCCGCCGCAGGUGAUCACCUCAGUGUUCGCCUCUGUGCUGCCCUGCUUCAUCUUCACCCACUGGUAUAUAUUGUUAUAUAUAAAAUAAAGACAAGAUCCAUUUUGCAAUCAUCCUGAC